CCAGGAAAAGCCUCUAAGCAUCAGGUAACACGAAAUCGUACCCCAAACCGACACAGGUGGUCAGGUAGAGAAUACCAAGGCGCUUGAGAGAACUCGGGUGAAGGAACUAGGCAAAAUGGUGCCGUAACUUCGGGAGAAGGCACGCUGACACGUAGGUGAAGUGAUUUACUCAUGGAGCUGAAGUCAGUCGAAGAUACCAGCUGGCUGCAACUGUUUAUUAAAAACACAGCACUGUGCAAACACGAAAGUGGACGUAUACGGUGUGACGCCUGCCCGGUGCCGGAAGGUUAAUUGAUGGGGUCAGCGCAAGCGAAGCUCCUGAUCGAAGCCCCGGUAAACGGCGGCCGUAACUAUAACGGUCCUAAGGUAGCGAAAUUCCUUGUCGGGUAAGUUCCGACCUGCACGAAUGGCGUAAUGAUGGCCAGGCUGUCUCCACCCGAGACUCAGUGAAAUUGAACUCGCUGUGAAGAUGCAGUGUACCCGCGGCAAGACGGAAAGACCCCGUGAACCUUUACUAUAGCUUGACACUGAACAUUGAGCCUUGAUGUGUAGGAUAGGUGGGAGGCUUUGAAGUGUGGACGCCAGUCUGCAUGGAGCCGACCUUGAAAUACCACCCUUUAAUGUUUGAUGUUCUAACGUGGACCCGUAAUCCGGGUUGCGGACAGUGUCUGGUGGGUAGUUUGACUGGGGCGGUCUCCUCCUAAAGAGUAACGGAGGAGCACGAAGGUUGGCUAAUCCUGGUCGGACAUCAGGAGGUUAGUGCAAUGGCAUAAGCCAGCUUGACUGCGAGCGUGACGGCGCGAGCAGGUGCGAAAGCAGGUCAUAGUGAUCCGGUGGUUCUGAAUGGAAGGGCCAUCGCUCAACGGAUAAAAGGUACUCCGGGGAUAACAGGCUGAUACCGCCCAAGAGUUCAUAUCGACGGCGGUGUUUGGCACCUCGAUGUCGGCUCAUCACAUCCUGGGGCUGAAGUAGGUCCCAAGGGUAUGGCUGUUCGCCAUUUAAAGUGGUACGCGAGCUGGGUUUAGAACGUCGUGAGACAGUUCGGUCCCUAUCUGCCGUGGGCGCUGGAGAACUGAGGGGGGCUGCUCCUAGUACGAGAGGACCGGAGUGGACGCAUCACUGGUGUUCGGGUUGUCAUGCCAAUGGCACUGCCCGGUAGCUAAAUGCGGAAGAGAUAAGUGCUGAAAGCAUCUAAGCACGAAACUUGCCCCGAGAUGAGUUCUCCCUGAGACUUAGAGUCUCCUGAAGGAACGUUGAAGACGACGACGUUGAUAGGCCGGGUGUGUAAGCGCAGCGAUGCGUUGAGCUAACCGGUACUAAUGAACCGUGAGGCUUAACCUUACA
This 1344-nucleotide ribosomal RNA is filed under the name Salmonella enterica subsp. enterica serovar Typhimurium. RNAcentral describes it as "partial 23S ribosomal RNA". It matches the Rfam family "Bacterial large subunit ribosomal RNA", at positions 1608 to 2925 of the family's 2925-position model. The record is from RNAcentral. Lineage: Bacteria; Pseudomonadati; Pseudomonadota; Gammaproteobacteria; Enterobacterales; Enterobacteriaceae.